RNAcentral lists this long non-coding RNA (378 nucleotides) under Brassica napus (rape). Its description in RNAcentral is "long non-coding RNA (BNAP_LNC013472)". The record is from RNAcentral. Lineage: Eukaryota; Viridiplantae; Streptophyta; Magnoliopsida; Brassicales; Brassicaceae.
UUUUCUUUUGUUCAUUUCUCCAAGUUAAAAUUUCGAAACAAAGCAUACAAAUCUUACCUUUACGAGCACGACGUUGGAAUAUGGGUUAAAAUCAUGAUGAUAGAUAUCUGUUUCAAACGAAUAUAUAUUACAAAUUUUCGCAUAUAUUAAAAAUAUUAUAUUUUCACAAAUUCAAAUAAAUAGAAAUUUAAUAUAUAAAUUAUUCUUUUGAAAUUUACAGUUUAUCAUUAUUAUUAUCUAACAAAAGAUCCAUAAAAUGUAAAGUGUUCGAGUAUGUAAACAACCUCUCAUUUCAGUCGAAUUGCUAAAACACUUCUCCUUUGUUGUUCGAGUAAAUAAGAAAUGCUCGAGUUACUAAAUACCCCUAAAGGACCCCUC